This 426-nucleotide ribosomal RNA is filed under the name Aname whitei. RNAcentral describes it as "partial large subunit ribosomal RNA". It matches the Rfam family "Bacterial large subunit ribosomal RNA", at positions 1834 to 2597 of the family's 2925-position model. The record is from RNAcentral. Lineage: Eukaryota; Metazoa; Arthropoda; Arachnida; Araneae; Anamidae.
UAAAAGAACUUAAUUUUUAGUACCCCCUGCUCAAUGAUUUUAAAUAGCCGCAGUCUCCUGUGCUAAGGUAGCAUAAUCAUUUGCCUAAUAAUUAUAGGAUAGAAUGAAAGGUGUUACAUGUUAUCUUCUUUAUUAAACAGGUUAAUUUAAAUUAAUUUUUAAGUAAAAACCCUUAAAUUAUUAGGGGGACGACAAGACCCUGACGAACUUUACUCUAUGUUUAGCUGGGGCGGCAAAUAAAUAAAACCUUUUUUCUACUCUCUCGUAAUCAACCCAUUAAAUCGAUUCUCAAGUUACCGCAGGGAUAACAGCAUAAUACUCUCCUGAAGACCUUAUACAAGAGAUUGUUUGUGACCUCGAUGUUGAAUUAAAAAUCUAUUAGAGGCAACACUCUAAUAAGAGAGUCUGUUCGACUCUUAAAAAUUU